UAGGGAAUAUUAGUAAUGGGCGAAAGCCUGAACUAGCAACGCCGCGUGUGCGAAGAAGGCCUUCGGGUUGUAAAGCACUUUUUGAGAGGAUGAGGAAGGACGGUACUCUCAGAAUAAGUCUCGGCUAACUACGUGCCAGCGGCCGCGGUAACACGUAGGAGGCGAACGUUAUCCGGAUUUACUGGGCGUAAAGCGCGUGUAGGUGGUUUGGUAAGUAGGGCGUGAAAGCUCCUGGCUCAACUGGGAGAGGCCGUUCUAAACUGCCGAACUAGAGGAUGGUAGAGGGAGGUGGAAUUCCGGGUGUAGCGGUGGAAUGCGCAGAUAUCCGGAGGAACACCAGUGGCGAAAGCGGCCUCCUGGACCACUCCUGACACUCAGACGCGAAAGCUAGGGUAGCAAACGGG
Molecule: ribosomal RNA, 404 nt
Filed under: uncultured bacterium
Lineage: Bacteria
Description: bacterial SSU rRNA
Rfam family: Bacterial small subunit ribosomal RNA
Source: RNAcentral